Long non-coding RNA from Gigantopelta aegis, 583 nucleotides. RefSeq lists it as uncharacterized. The record is from RefSeq and is a predicted model, not a curated record. Lineage: Eukaryota; Metazoa; Mollusca; Gastropoda; Neomphalida; Peltospiridae. The transcript has 2 exons.
CAAAACCUCGAAUUCGGGCAGAAAUGAUACAGAUAUUCCGGUAAAAUGUGCUAACCUUAGACCUUUUUACCAUGUAUUUCCAUCAUUCUACCCUCAAAAUUAGUUGUAAUCCAUGUAAAAACGUGUAGCAGGGCUGCCAACCAUUACGAUUUAUGCGGAAUCAUUACGAUUUUCCAUCUCUUAUUACGCUAUUACACCGCGUUUUCCUGUUUUUUUUUUUUUUUUUUUUUUGUAAUAACCUACCACCCCUACAAAUCACAUAAAUUGGACUCGCCCAACUAGCCGCAAAUGCGCACGGAAGUUUUUUUUUGCGUGCGCAACGCACUUCGGGAUAGACGUAGCUUGUGAAACGACGCCAUUUAGUAAAGAUGUCGAAAAAACGCGAACGAUCAGAGCCAUAUGAACUGUGCAAAGCUCAGAAAAAGCCAAAAGUAGUACAGAAGUAUAAACAGGACUACAGCAAUGAGUGGCCUGUUUUGAAGGCCAGUUCUAUUCCGACGACGACAACAUCUCCAUGGCUGCUGGCCUCUACUAAAGUGCUGCAAUGACAAAUGCAGAAAAUAAAGAUGUCAUACUAAAAAUA